RNAcentral lists this ribosomal RNA (224 nucleotides) under uncultured bacterium. RNAcentral describes it as "partial 16S ribosomal RNA". It matches the Rfam family "Bacterial small subunit ribosomal RNA", at positions 943 to 1167 of the family's 1533-position model. The record is from RNAcentral.
GGUUUAAUUCGAUGAUACGCGAGGAACCUUACCCGGGCUUGAAUUGCAGAGGAAGGAUUUGGAGACAAUGACGCCCUUCGGGUCGUCUGUGAAGGUGCUGCAUGGUUGUCGUCAGCUCGUGCCGUGAGGUGUCGGCUUAAGUGCCAUAACGAGCGCAACCCCUCUCCUUAGUUGCCAUCAGGUGAAGCUGGGCACUCUGGGGACACUGCCACCGUAAGGUGUGA